RNAcentral lists this ribosomal RNA (246 nucleotides) under uncultured bacterium. Its description in RNAcentral is "partial 16S ribosomal RNA". It matches the Rfam family "Bacterial small subunit ribosomal RNA", at positions 531 to 776 of the family's 1533-position model. The record is from RNAcentral.
GGUGCAAACGUUGUUCGGAUUUACUGGGCGUAAAGCGCGUGUAGGCGGCUUUGCGAGUCGGAUGUGAAAGCCCACGGCUCAACCGUGGAAGUGCAUCCGAAACUGCAUGGCUCGAGUCUCGGAGAGGAAGGUGGAAUGCUUGGUGUAGAGGUGAAAUUCGUAGAUAUCAAGCAGAACACCUGCGGCGAAGGCGGCCUUCUGGACGAUGACUGACGCUGAGACGCGAAAGCGUGGGGAGCAAACAGG